Long non-coding RNA from Ictalurus punctatus (channel catfish), 1227 nucleotides. The record is from Ensembl. NCBI's taxonomy places the organism in Eukaryota, Metazoa, Chordata, Actinopteri, Siluriformes, Ictaluridae.
AUUUCCGGCUUGUCAUUAAAAUAAAUCACUGGUUAGGGUUUUGUUAAAAACAUUAAUUUAUUUAUUUAAAUAAAAGCACUACAUUUGCAUAUUGGAAGCAGAUUGGCUGUUGUAUCUGGUUGUGUGAUAACACUUGCCCGUCACAUGUUCAGUACUAACUGAGGAUUUUCUCUCUCCACAGUAUAACUACACGUUUGCAAUAGAAGAACAGGCUGCCAUGAGACCCCGCUCCUAGGUCAAGAAACCAACAAACAAGAAACAUAUACACAUCCCAUCUGGGUACAAGACUGCAGCCAGAAUUCCUUUUGAUUUAUUCUAUAUAAUAUCCAGUUAUUUUUAAGUGCAUAUCUUUUCAUUUAUUUUAAUUAAUAUACUAUGAUACACUGAUAUGUGAAGAACGUGUAGAGCAAAUACAGAAAACAAAAAUAGAAGAUAAAUAAUACACUCUCUCUCUCUCUCUCACACACACACACACACACACACACACACACACACACACACUUGUAUGUAUACCUAUGUGAAGUGUAUUUUAUCAUAUAUUUUGCAGUGAAGGAAAUGGCUAUUUUUGUUCUUUAGUGUACGUCACAUUUUAAUGUAUUAAGAAGGACUUAAGAUUCUUAUUCUGGAAUAUUUCUUAGUUUUUUAAUUGAAAACUGGUGUAAUCUAAAACCAAUUCAUAUAUAAAAUGUGUUUAUCGAAAAUCAAAACCUGAAUGAUGAUGCAUUUUAUUUGAUAUUCUCAGCUAUAACCUAUAUAUUUUUAAUGUUUAUAUCAGAUGGGUCCAACUAUUAUUUGAAUUACUUUUUUCUUUCUUUCUUUCUUUUUUUCUGGCCAAAAUACAGUAAAAUACAGCGUGUUUUAUGAAGUUUUAUAGAAUAUUAAAAUCCUGCCGUAGUGUUUGUGAGGUUUCUAAUACUUCUUAAUGCUUCUUUAUUUUGGUUGUGGUUUAUAAUUGCAUUUAUGAUGAUUUAAACAUUUGUAUUUAUUCUUAUACUUUUUUAUGUUAGGACCAAACUUCAAAGGGUGUUUAAAAUUUUUUUUUAAAAUAUCCAUAAUAAAUUUCUGUCUGUAUUAAAUGUACGUUUGUGCUUUGGAAUGAUAUUUCUCUGUUAGACUUUGUAAGGUUAAAUAAUAAAUUAUGAAGUAUAUAAUUAUUUAUAAUAAUUAUAAUAAGGACAUGAAUAAAUAAUAAUACACAUUUGGACGUUUAUUAUUUAUCAGUAUCAU